GACGAACGCUGGCGGCGCGCUUAAUACAUGCAAGUCGAGCGGGGUCCAUCCAGUGGCAACACUGGUGAAGACCUAGCGGCGAACGGGUGAGUAACACGUGAGGAACCUGCCCCAGAGACCGGGAUAACUCUCCGAAAGGAGAGCUAAUACCGGAUACACCCACCGGAUCGCAUGGUCUGGUGAGGAAAUGGAUUCCGCUCUGGGAGGGCCUCGCGGCCUAUCAGCNGUUGGUGAGGUAACGGCUCACCAAGGACGUCGACGGGUAGCUGGUCUGAGAGGACGGAUCAGCCACACUGGGACGUGAGACACGGCCCCGACCUCCUU
This 324-nucleotide ribosomal RNA is filed under the name uncultured bacterium. RNAcentral's name for it is "bacterial SSU rRNA". It matches the Rfam family "Bacterial small subunit ribosomal RNA", at positions 28 to 342 of the family's 1533-position model. The record is from RNAcentral.